CAUUGACUUGUCCCACCUUUCUCAAUACCAUUUACCGUACAUAGUCCACUAUAUUAUUAGCAUUAUUCAAUGAUUUUUGUACGUUUAUGAAACAUCACCCCCAACACAUUCUGCCAAAAAAAUGCAAUAGUACUCUACGGUUGAGCUGAAGUUCUACUUGACCAUUAUGACCUGUACUUUUUCCUUCCUUAUACUUCUUCCCACCUUGGGGCCCCAUUCAGGUUAACUUUUAGCCCGUCUUACUUGCUUAUUUGUAUACAUUGUAGGCCUAUACUUGUGCAUGCUUAAGUCCAUGUUAUUCCUUUUUUGAUGAUGAAUAAAUACCCUUUUUCUUUCUUUCUACAUUAAGGAUGCCUUUUCAUCUAAUUGAAUUUCAAGCAAGCGAGGACAUUGCUGUAGUGCCAGUUGACUGGUAUGAUGACGGGAUGGUGUACUGGCCCAGCUUUAAGAGCACUGAACGUGUGAAACGGGCAGCUGCAAACGAGGAGAAGCAAGAUAUGACGUAAAGGUUGUCAGAACUUGUGACAACUACAAAGACGCCAUCAGGCAAAUGAAUCAAUAUGAGACCGACUGCAACACCUCUGAGCUACAGUCUGAGGCAGAGCAGGAGGGUGAGCUGCCAGAGAAACGAGUCAGGAAGCCAAUCCAUCGUUUUGGGGACUCUGAUGAGAGUGAAGAAGAAAAUUGUGACUUAGCUUCUCUGAGGUCGCCACGACCUUCCAACUCGGUUGGUGUAUCAGUUGGAGCCUCAAGCCCAAACCAAUUACACUGGCAGACUCCACCAUCUCGCCGAGUGCCAAGCAGCAGAGUCACUACUCCUCAACCUGGAGGAAACUGUCUAGCACCUGACCAUGGUUUCAGACCCCAACACCCUUCACCACCUCAACUCCCUGCACCUGCAUUUAACAUGAGGGGUGUUUCUCAAGGAACGGCAGUCCCUCCGCAACUCCCUCCACCCCCCGCACCAGCCCUCAACAUGAGGCGAACAAAGGAGCCCUCUUCAAGCCUGGCCUAUAGACCAACAUGGCGAGGGGGAAUAAUGACCGAUACCAUUCCCUGCUCUGCGGCUGAGGUCCACAUCCUUAGCCUGCUGGAGACCAUUAAACAGCAACAAGACCAGCUUGUGGCAAAGGUGAACUACCUCAGCAGCAGGCUGAACAGCAACCCCGGGGCCAGAUGUUGAGAUGCCGGACAAUAUCCAGUUUCCCCUGGAACAAUUGGAGGCAGUGGAGGCAUUUGAAAUGUUUUUAAAGGAACCGUCAAAUGGCCCAGCUCGACAGAGAGUGAUUUCUUCUUUGGCCACCAUUGAAGGUCAGGAUGUGAAGAGGGUGACCUGGAACAUCCUGGCCAGGCUCUUCACGGAUGAGGUGCUGUGAGGAAAAACACAGUGACACUCAGCCACAGACGCAGAGGUCACCAAGCACGUAAUCAGGUGGUUCAACCUGGCAGCGGAUCGGGCAACGAGGAGACGUGUCCCGCCUCUAGCCAGACAAAUGGAAGCCUUCAUGAAUCAGGCAGAGUGAGAUGUCUCUCACUUCUGGCAGCUGCUGACCUCUUCCUCAGCCUUUUCAAGAGCUACUCUUUUUCCCUGCCUCUAUUUUGAGGAAGUUGAGGAGUUCACCUGCCCACUUUUUCUCUGCUGGCCUGGCUCUCUCCCUGGCAGGGGCAGAGGCACCUGCAGUGGAUGUAAUGUUUGCAGCAACUACCAUGGGCGGAUUAAGAGUGCUGCAUCCAUUGUGGCGUACCACUGCCUUGUGGCAGCAGUGACCUCUCCUGCCCUCCACCCCUUU
Molecule: long non-coding RNA, 1790 nt
Organism: Esox lucius (northern pike)
Lineage: Eukaryota; Metazoa; Chordata; Actinopteri; Esociformes; Esocidae
Source: Ensembl